GCCUCCCAAAAAUGUUGCCCGCCCAAAAAGUAUGAGCGAAAGCUUGAAACUUAAAGAACCUGGCGGUGCUAAAUCAGCCUAGAGGGGCCUGUCUAAUAAUCGAUGAUACGCGACACACCUUACCUAUUCUAGCCAUCUUUAGCCUAUAUACCGCCGUCGAAAGCACAUUCUAUGAAAAACGCAGCUUAAAAGUCUUUACGCAAGCACGUCAGGUCAAGGUGUAGCACAUGAAAAGGACAAGAUUGGCCACAUUAACACUAAAUUACACUGAAAAGCGUAACAAUUAGAAUUUAGAAGUAAGAGGAACCAGAACACUCCUCUGAAACCUGCCCUUAAGCACGU
RNAcentral lists this ribosomal RNA (342 nucleotides) under Gonocephalus grandis (Giant forest dragon). RNAcentral's name for it is "partial 12S rRNA". It matches the Rfam family "Bacterial small subunit ribosomal RNA", at positions 852 to 1384 of the family's 1533-position model. The record is from RNAcentral. Lineage: Eukaryota; Metazoa; Chordata; Lepidosauria; Squamata; Agamidae.